Molecule: long non-coding RNA, 596 nt
Organism: Zophobas morio
Lineage: Eukaryota; Metazoa; Arthropoda; Insecta; Coleoptera; Tenebrionidae
Exons: 3
Source: RefSeq, a predicted model, not a curated record
AAUUCAGAGCCAUUAGCUAGAGUGAUUGACGGAGAGUCCGCCGGGGGCGCUAGAUGUAAGAGUCCAUUCGAAGGGGGUAGUCUGUGGUGUAGUGUGUAGCGUUCAACUAUUUUAAUAAAUCUAUCUCCUUGGUUUUUAUCAUCAUAUUAGUUUUCCACACUUUCACACAGGAAUUAAAUAAACAAGCGAUGGAAGAAAAGUCUCAUACUGAUAUGACAACCUUAAAAAGUAUGGAAGAUUAUCGAGCUCUUCUCAUGGCAAAUGAAAAAAUAGGUUUCCAAAUUAUGGUAAUGAAAAAUAAACUGCCGUGUGGAGUAUUUAGAUUUACUGAUACGAAAGAAGGUGACGGCCUAUCGGUAACGACUGAUAUUGCAAACGGAACCCUUUAUUAUCACUGUCGCGCGAAUAUUUGUGCGCUUCCACGUUUCUCCUUGCUUUCACCGAUGGACCAAACCGAAACCUAUGAAGUGCGAAACAAUGAGUUGUGUCUUGUGCCUAACCGAAGUGACCCAGUCUCAGAGAGCUCAUCAGAAGAGGAUUCAAUGAAGUGCACAAUUAUUUAAUAUUCUUGUAUUGCAUACACUUUCUCAGUUGUA